Molecule: non-coding RNA, 1070 nt
Organism: Sturnus vulgaris (Common starling)
Lineage: Eukaryota; Metazoa; Chordata; Aves; Passeriformes; Sturnidae
Source: RefSeq, a predicted model, not a curated record
AUCAAAAGUCUUUGAAUCAUGUAAUUCCAUUCACUAUGAAAAAGGAUCUUAAUUCAGCUAUACUGUUUGAGAAGACAACUUCAGAAAACCAGACUAUAUAUAUGUACAAACAACUAUACUUCAAAAUAUGAAUAUACAGAAUUGUUUGCCAUCAGUUGCAGAAGUGAAUUAAAAUUCACAUUUGCCAAAAUUCAAUAAUUUUCUUACAUGAAUGUGAGUUUUAAAUCUGCAGAGCUGUCAGUCAAAACAAUAUAAAAACAUAGACUUAAUUUGUGAAGUCAUAGUGCAUGAAGACUAAAUAACUUGGGGAAUUAUUUAUCAAUCAAGGAAAAAUAUGUCAAGCAUAAAUAAUGGAUGCAGAUUUUUUAUUUCUUCCAUACAACAUAAACCAAGUGUUCCCAUUAAUUAAGUCUAUUGUUUGAUGUAAUCUGUUUUAAAAGGAUAUUUCUCCAUUAAGGUGGAAUGAAAGACAUUCCAGCAAGUGAAAAGCAGUUAAAGGGUUCAUGCCACUUCUGACAAACUUUUUCGAUAUCAAGCAGAAAAUAUUUCUAUCAUUUUGUUGCUGAGUAUGGUUAUGCUGCAUAACUUCUUCCACUUAGAGGAACUCUUUUAUAUAGAUAUAAAAUAUAUAAUUUACUUAGAAGAUUUUCUACAUAUAGCCCAGCCACAAAAAUGAAGAUUGAGCAGGAGUGACUCCAGCAUGGAUCUGGAUCCAAGAACCAGUUUAUGAGGUUAGAGAAGUGUAGCUCACAAAUUUCAAUAAGCUUAUGCCAAGCUACACCAGCUGCAAUGUUGAAAACCUAGGAAUCCUCCCAGUGAAGUUUGAAAGCAUUCCAAGUAAACAAAAAUAGCAGAGUAGAGUAUAAACAGUUACCUAAACAUAACCCUAGAUUUAACUAGGGCUUCUUUGAAAGAACAAAGCACUCAAAUAUAACUGUAGUACAUUGUGUACAUUUUAUGCUGUGUUUAUUACUGUUGAUGUGCUCAAGGUGACUUUUUAUUUUGAAUGUCUUAUACUUUGAUCUUAAUAUCUGUUUUAAUUGCAUAUUCAAAUAUUAUAAUUUUCUUAA